This 5512-nucleotide long non-coding RNA is filed under the name Coffea arabica (coffee). Its description in RNAcentral is "long non-coding RNA (CARA_LNC002458)". Lineage: Eukaryota; Viridiplantae; Streptophyta; Magnoliopsida; Gentianales; Rubiaceae. The record is from RNAcentral.
UCGUGCUUGAAAGCACUGUCCUAAGAAACUAUUUCAGAGUAUUGAAACGUUUCCCCAGGAUUAAACAAGUCUUCCUCUAAUUUGUAAGAGGGAUGUAGAACCAGCAAAAUAUGAAACAAAACCAGCAGGUGAAAUAAGAAUAUUAAGAAGAGCAGAUGGAGAAAGGGAGGAGAGAAUUUGCGAAGCAUAGACUUCGUUCUUCGGUGUGUAAAUUGAACCUGCCAAAUGGUUCUAUUUAUAGGCUUCAUGAUGAUACAGAAUACGGAAGAGGUAAGCUGAUUUCUCGUGAGAAUAGGCGUGCAUCCGUGCCAGACUUUAUCCUUUGAAGUAGUCAAAGGUCUAUCCUUUGUUGUGAGCUAUUGGAAAAAGGCUAUUGGAAAAUGUCAGACCAUCGGAAGGCUACUUGACCGAAGAUGUCUCACAAUCUGAUUUCUUGAAUUUGGCCUUCAGCAAAAUCUUGUCUUUGACCAAUUCUUCCCUCAAAAUAGGAACAAAUAUUUCUGAUGAAGUUUUAUCAGAUGAGACCGUAACAAACAUAAAAAAAAUCUUUUGGAAUAUCUAUUUUUACAACAAUCUCCCACCUAUUUCAAAAGAUUUUAGACAAAAGAGUAUGAACAUCUGCUGGAUUUGUUUGAGCUUAAUGUAAUCAGUUUGGUGUCUUUUGGACUAUGAACCAAACUUAAAUUGAUAAAAUAUGUCUUACAGAAUUAUUGGUGAAAAAAUAUCUUUCUAUGAACCAAUAAUUCUUGUUGUAUGACAGAGAUCUUAUCAAUCACAUUACAACCCAUAAUUUUGCUGUUCAAUGCAGUUUUGCGCAUUUAGGCCAUGCGCCUGCCUGGCUAUUCAUGAGAGCUCUAAAGAUUUGGCCAAAAAAUCUUAUAGGAGCGGCCCCACUCCACUCUCAUAUAGGUGAAUUUAUCAAGUGUAUACUGCUAUAGAUACACCUCCCUAAAGAGACAUAAAUUCAUUAAGAGUAUUAAACUCAGCCUCACGAUUGCUAGCAGUUAAAGCACUCAUCUCAGAAGGGACUUAAAUUUCAAGUGCUUUACUGUCAAUAUCGACUUGUUAUUACCCAUAUGAACCUAUUUCAUGGGAUCACCAAUCACAUAGGUUGGGUUACCAUCUCUAUUGACAACCGUUGGCCUAAGUCCCAUCUCCCUUGUAGUUUGAAGAAUUAAUUUUCUUCCUACAGGUUUAGUCAGAGGAUCGGCCAAAUUCAACUCUGACUUCACAAAAUCAAUGGAAAUAAUUCCAUCUCUAAGCAGCUGCUUUACGACAUCAUGUCUCAAUCUCAUGUGUCGACUUUUACAAUUAUAAGAUUUAUUUUUUGCAAUAGCAAUUGCCGCUUGACAAUCACAGUGUAUAGACACAGGAGGCAACAGUUCCUUAAUAGGAGGAAUAUUGGCUAAGAAAUUUCUUAACCAAUCUGCCUCAGAACCAGUCAGCUCCAGAGCUAUGAACUCCGAUUCCAUAGUUGACCGAGCAAUGAUUGUCUGUCUGGCUGACUUCCAUGCUACUGCACCACCACCAAGGGUGAACACAUAACCACUAGUGGAUUUUGUGUCAUUUGAAUCAGAGAUCCAAUUAGCAUCACUGUAACCCUCUAAUACAGUGGGAAAUCCACUAUACAGGAUACCAAAAUUCAUGGUACCUCUCAAAUAUUUCAUUAGUCUGACUAAUGCAAACCAAUGCUCACGAUUGGGAUUGUGAGUAUAUCUACUCAGUCUACAUACAGCAUAAGCUAUAUCUGGUCUAGUGAAAUUCAUCAGAUGCAUCAGACUCCCAAUAAUCUGAGCAUAUUUAGACUGAGCAAUUGGGUCACCAUUAUUUUUCUUUAACUGAGUGUUAGCGUCAUAAGGAGUACUAACAGGUGUCACAUCAUAAUUUUCAAACUUCCUAAGAAGUCUCUCUGUAUAAUGUUCUUGUGUCAACAUUAUACCAUCACCUUUCCUUAUGAUUUUAACACCCAAUAUUAUUUUGGCUUCACCCAAAUCUUUCAUAUCAAAAUUAGAAGACAAAAAAUAUUUAGUACUAUUUACAAUAUCUAGACUAGUACCAAAUAUAAGCAUGUCAUCCACAUAUAAACUGAUUAUCACAUAUUGAUCAUUUAUAAUUUUGACAUAUACACAUUUAUCCACUUCUACAGAUGAAAAUCCAUCUUUCAUCAAUACUUGAUCAAAUUUCUCAUGCCACUGUUUAGGAGCUUGUUUUAGGCCAUAAAGAGAUUUAAUUAGUUUACAAACCUUAUUUUCUUGUCCAGAUACAAUACAUCCCUCAGGUUGAAACAUAUAAAUUUCUUCUUCUAAAUCACCAUUUAAAAAGGCUGUUUUGACAUCCAUUUGAUGAAUAACAAGUUUAUGGAUAGAAGCUAAAGCAAAUAAAACUCGAAUAGACGCAAUUCUAGUUACUGGUGCAAAUGUAUCAAAAUAAUCAAUAUUUUGUUUUUGAGAAAAUCCUUUUGCUACUAAACGAGCUUUGUACUUUUCUAUAGAGCCAUCAGAGUUAUAUUUUCUUUUAAAAAUCCAUUUGUAACCAAUAGGUUUUGCACCAGGAGGUAAGUCUACCAAAAUCCAAGUUUUAUUUGACAAGAUAGAAUCUAUUUCAGAUUUAAUUGCUUCUUUCCAAAAUUUACACUCAGGAGAAGAAAUAGCAUCGGAGUAUGUUAAAGGAUCAUUAUCAACAAGAAAGGUUUGGAAUUCAUUUCCAAAUGAAAAUUCUUUUCUUGGCCUUUUGCUCCUUCUUAAUUCCUCAAUUGGAAUAAUUUCCUUACUUAUUUCAACAGGUGCAUGAGAAAUUUUACUAGACAGUGGAAAAAUAUGUUCAAAAAAUUCAGCAUUCUUUGUCUCAAUAAUUGUAUUACAAUCAAAUAUAUCACUUCUUAACACAAGAAAUCUAUAUGCAGCACUAUGUUCAGCAUAUCCAAUAAACAUACAAUCAGAAGUUUUAGAACCUAUUUUCCUUUUCUUAGGUUCAGGCAACAAGACUUUAGCAAGACACCCCCAAACUUUUAAAUAUUUCAAAUUUGGUUUAUAAUUUUUCCAUAACUCAUAAGGUGUUUUGCCAGUCUUUUUAUGUGGGAUUCUAUUUUGUAAGUGACAUGCAGAUAAUAUAGCUUCUCCCCAUAAAUUAUCUGGAGCAUGAGAACUAAUUAACAUAGAGUUCAUCAUUUCUUUUAAUGUUCUAUUUUUCCUUUCAGCUACUCCAUUAGAUUCUGGAGAAUAAGGUGGAGUUAUUUCAUGUAUUAUGCCUUCCUGUUCACAAAGGUUAUCUAAAGUUAAAUAUUCUCCACCCCUAUCUGAUCUAAUUCUUUUUAUCCUUUUAUUAAGUUGAUUUUCUACUUUAGACUUAUAGGAUAAAAAGGCAUUAUAAGUAUCAUCUUUAUUUCUAAGUAAAUAAACUUUGGUAUAUCUAGAAUAGUCAUCUAUAAAGGUGACAUAAUACCUUUUCCCACCUCUAGUCAUUGUUUGUUUUAAAUCACCUAAAUCAGUAUGAAUUAAAUUUAAUAACUCAGUUUCUCUAUGGACAGUUAUACAACUUUUCUUUGUUAUUUUAGCUUCUGCACAUAUUUCACAUUUGUCCAUAUUAUCAUUAAUACCAUAAAUUAGACCACAUGAUUGCAUUUUCUUUAUAUAACCAAUAUUAACAUGUCCUAAUCUAGCAUGCCAUAAAGAAAUGGAAUCAACAAUAUAAGCAGAAGAAGAUGCAUUUUCAUUUAUCACAUUGGAAAUAUUAAGUACAAAAAGUCCCUGAUUACAAUAGCCUUUCCCUACAAACACAUUAUUUCUUGUCAUUACAAUCCUUUCAGAUUCGAAUGAUACUUUCACCCCAACUUUUCCAAGCAAAGCCACAGAAACAAGAUUUGCCCGAAUAUUUGGAACAUGCAGCACAUCAUUAAGAGCCAAAGUAUUUCCUGAAGUGAGUUUCAAUAGUACUUUGCCCUUACCCAGAACUUUAGCAGUUCGUGAAUCUGCAAGGUAGACUAUUUUUUCAUCAUCCCCUAUUGAAGUAUAGGAGGAAAACGCUUCUCGAUUUGCACUUAUGUGCCGAGUAGCCCCAGAGUCUACCACCCAUUCUUUAACAUUAGCUGCAAUGUUCACUUGAGAGAUGACAGCAGCAAUUAUAUCAUCUCCUUCGGUUAAGUGCACCUUAGGAGGGUUACCAUUUGCUCUGUCACCUUUAUUAUGUCUGCAUUGGACUGCAUAAUGUCCUGGUUUUCCACAAUAAAAGCAAUUGCCUUUCUUCUUCUUAAAGUUGGGAUUGUUAGGCUUGACAUUAAAAUUUUUGGGCUUGUAGUUCUGGGAUUUAUUGGCGUACCUUUUAUUAUUGCUUUGCACCAAAUUGGCUUUGUAGGCCAUCUCCUUUGCCUUGGUAGCUCUCAACUCCCUUUUGCUUGAAUCCUCAAUGAGGAUGUGUUUCACGAGCUCAUCCAUGGUAUAGUUUUUCUCCUUGUGUUUCAAGUUGUUUUUAUAGUCGGCCCAUGACUCAGGUAGCUUUUCAAUCAGCAUGCCAGCAGCGAAUUUUUCAGGAAGAUUGAUGUCUUCAUUUUUCAAGUCCUCUAGCAGCAUUUGAUAUUCAGUGAUUUGGAUUUUCAUCUCCUUGUCAUCCGUCAUUUGCCAUUGGUUAUAUUUUCCUACGACGAAUUUUUGCUUGGUUGCAUCUUCGGCAGUAAACUUUGUUACCAAGCCUUCCCAAAUUGCCUUGGCUUCUUUGCUGCUACAAUAGACGUCAAAUAAUUCAUUAGAGAGUGUUUGAAGGAUAGUGUGUCGACAUACCUUAUUGGCAUAUUGCCAUGCUUCUUGAGUCUUGGCAUCCGCAGUUGCGGAAGGUUGAGAUUCAGUGAGCGCAUAAGCUACUCCAUGAAUGUCAAGUAGAGAGUGCACACGUUCUUGCCAUCUUUUAAAAUUUUCAUUGGCGAAAAUUUCAAUUUUGGAUACAUCUGGAAAGGGCUUGGCGAAUGGUAGUGCCACUGCAACAGUUGCUGAUGAAGGCUGCGGGGUGCUAACAUUGUCAGAUGCCAUAGUUUCUUAGAUUGUUGGAAAAGGCGGCCUGAACAAUGCUAACACUUGAACACUUGAGUCGUGCUUGAAAGCACUGUCCUAAGAAACUAUUUCAGAGUAUUGAAACGUUUCCCCAGGAUUAAACAAGUCUUCCUCUAAUUUGUAAGAGGGAUGUAGAACCAGCAAAAUAUGAAACAAAACCAGCAGGUGAAAUAAGAAUAUUAAGAAGAGCAGAUGGAGAAAGGGAGGAGAGAAUUUGCGAAGCAUAGACUUCGUUCUUCGGUGUGUAAAUUGAACCUGCCAAAUGGUUCUAUUUAUAGGCUUCAUGAUGAUACAGAAUACGGAAGAGGUAAGCUGAUUUCUCGUGAGAAUAGGCGUGCAUCCGUGCCAGACUUUAUCCUUUGAAGUAGUCAAAGGUCUAUCCUUUGUUGUGAGCUAUUGGAAAAAGGCUAUUGGAAAAUGUCAGACCAUCGGAAGGCUACUUGACCGAAGAUGUCUCACAAUCUGAUUUCUUG